AACGCGAAGAACCUUACCUGGUCUUGACAUCCACGGAAGCUUUCAGAGAUGAGAAUGUGCCUUCGGGAACCGUGAGACAGGUGCUGCAUGGCUGUCGUCAGCUCGUGUUGUGAAACGUUGGGUUAAGUCCCGCAACGAGCGCAACCCUUAUCCUUUGUUGCCAGCGGUCCGGCCGGGAACUCAAAGGAGACUGCCAGUGAUAAACUGGAGGAAGGUGGGGAUGACGUCAAGUCAUCAUGGCCCUUACGACCAGGGCUACACACGUGCCACAAUGGCGCAUACAAAGAGAAGCGACCUCGCGAGAGCAAGCGGACCUCAUAAAGUGCGUCGUAGUCCGGAUUGGAGUCUGCAACUCGACUCCAUGAAGUCGGAAUCGCUAGUAAUCGUGGAUCAGAAUGCCACGGUGAAUACGUUCCCGGGCCUUGUACACACCG
Molecule: ribosomal RNA, 434 nt
Filed under: uncultured bacterium
Lineage: Bacteria
Description: bacterial SSU rRNA
Rfam family: Bacterial small subunit ribosomal RNA
Source: RNAcentral